AUGCAGGCCCGAGGUCCCACUCUCUGGGUGCUGCCGGCUCCCCCCGUGCCUCUGCCUCCGUCCCUGCUGCCCUCCCGCCUGCACACCACUUCCUGCAGCUCCAUUUUCUAUUAUUUUAUUUUAUUUUAUUUUAUUUUCCUGUUCGUUGCCCUGACGUGUUGGUGCGCUUGGCGGGGCCAUCCCCACGUGCCGCCUGCUGCGGGCUGGCAGCAGCCGGGGGCGCUGGUGGAAGAAGCAGGCUGGCUGCUAGGGAGGGAAGCUGGAGCCCCAAAACUCUUGAAAAACAAAAACAAAGCAACAAAAAAAAAAAAGCAGAUGUGCUCGGGUCUGUACGUGCUGAGCCAUGGCGUGAGGCGUUCCCGUGGGACAUCCCCAUAUGAGGCUGCUGGGGACGGCGGCGCCGCAGCCCCGAGGGAGGCCGGAGCCUCCCGCCUGCGUCUCCAUCCCGCUGCUGCUUCACCCUGGAGGUGCUGUGGGUGUUUCUCUGUCCUCUGUCCGUCGGUCCCCGUGCCAGCAUGCUGCUCAAAUAGCACGCUGCCAGCAGCCCGUGUGCCCGGGGUGCCGGCUGGGGGUCCUGGGGGACCCGGCAGCGGGCGAGGGGCUGGCGGUGCCAGCGGGCAUGGGGAGAUGGGGGCUGUGGUGGGGGGAUGGAGGCUGUGGUGGAGGGCACAGCCUGUUUGGGGACAGGGUAAGGGGCUUAAGGAGUCCCAGAGCCAGGGCUGUGAAAUUCAGGCUGUGUGUGAGGCCGGCAGCCCCCGCCCUGCCAAGGCCUGGGUGGGUUUUCCCAUAGGAUGCGCAUGCAAUAAGCCCUCGGGGCGCUCGCUUUUAAAUGUACGUGUUUUCCCUUUAACGUAUGUUUUUGUGAGCAGAGCUGCCUCUCCGUGUUUCAUAAUGGCUUAUUCUGCACCCGCAGCAUGGCCAGGGAAAGGUGGUGGCAGUGCAGAGCGGGUGCCCCAGCCCCAAGCCCCACGAGCCACCCUGGGAUGCCCCAGCACCCCCCAUGUCCCCAGGGUGACCGGUGCCAGGCGAGCGCCAAUGCAACGCCCCCCAUGCUCCACGGUGGAGGAGGCAGCGUUUUCCAUUUAG
RNAcentral lists this long non-coding RNA (1086 nucleotides) under Cairina moschata (Muscovy duck). RNAcentral's name for it is "domestica (muscovy Duck (domestic type)) lncRNA (ENSCMMG00000014836.1)". Lineage: Eukaryota; Metazoa; Chordata; Aves; Anseriformes; Anatidae. The record is from RNAcentral.